Molecule: ribosomal RNA, 507 nt
Filed under: uncultured bacterium
Lineage: Bacteria
Description: bacterial SSU rRNA
Rfam family: Bacterial small subunit ribosomal RNA
Source: RNAcentral
GAUGAACGCUAGCGGCAGGCUUAACACAUGCAAGUCGAGGGGCAGCACGUCUUCGGAUGGUGGCGACCGGCGCACGGGUGAGUAACGCGUAUGCAAUCUACCUUUUACAGGGGCAUAGCCCGGGGAAACCCGGAUUAAUAUCCUAUAGUACCAUUAUAUAGCAUUAUAUUAUGGUUAAAGUUUCGGCGGUAAAAGAUGAGCAUGCGUCCUAUUAGCUUGAUGGUAAGGUAACGGCUUACCAUGGCUAUGAUAGGUAGGGGUCCUGAGAGGGAGACCCCCCACACUGGUACUGAGACACGGACCAGACUCCUACGGGAGGCAGCAGUGAGGAAUAUUGGACAAUGGGCGAGAGCCUGAUCCAGCCAUGCCGCGUGCAGGAAGACGGCCCUAUGGGUUGUAAACUGCUUUUAUACGGGAAGAAACACCCCUUCGUGAAGGGACUUGACGGUACCGUAUGAAUAAGGAUCGGCUAACUCCGUGCCAGCAGCCGCGGUAAAUACGGAGGAU